Molecule: non-coding RNA, 2092 nt
Organism: Prunus avium (sweet cherry)
Lineage: Eukaryota; Viridiplantae; Streptophyta; Magnoliopsida; Rosales; Rosaceae
Source: RefSeq, a predicted model, not a curated record
UCCAGAAAGGAAAAUUCGUACGAACCAGAAACUUUUUAGUUAAAUUUUCCAGUGAUUUCCCAUUAUCCUUCUUAGCUACGAGUCUCUUUUAAUUUUGAAGUGAAUUCAUUCACCACCAAACACCCAGCUUCCUUUCUCAGCUCAACCAUCUUCUUCCGGACACUGAUGGGAACUCCUUACCCAAACCCCAUUUCUCCUUCCCAAACCCGCAUAGGCUGGAUUGGCAUAGGCGUCAUGGGAGCUGCCAUGGCCUCCCGCAUUCUCUCAGCCGGCUACUCCCUCACCAUCUACGCUCGCACUCCUUCAAAAGCUCAUCCCCUCCAAUCCCAAGGUGCCCAACUCGCCGAUUCCCCAUUUCAACUCGCUCAACUCAGCGACGUCGUCUUCACAAUGGUGGGACACCCAUCAGAUGUUCGAUCAAAUGUCCUCGACCCAGAAACCGGCCUUCUCUGGGGCCUCCGCCCAAACUCGGUCUCCGUCGACAUGACAAGCAGUGAUCCAGCCCUUGCCCGCGAGAUUUUCAAUGCUGCGCGCGCCAAAGAUUGCUGGACUGUCGAUGCGCCAGUGUCUGGGGGUGACAUUGGCGCUAGAGAAGGCAAACUCGCCAUACUUGCCGGCGGUGAUGCUUCCGUGGUCGAGUGGUUGGCUCCAUUGUUUGAUGUUUUGGGGAAGGUUACUUACGUGGGUCCUGCGGGCUCCGGCCAAAACUGCAAGAUUGCGAACCAGAUUGUGGUGGGGGGGAAUUUGCUGGGGUUGAGCGAAGGGUUGGUGUUUGCCCAGCGGGCCGGGUUGGAUGUGCGGCAGUUUAUGGAGGCAGUGAGGGGCGGGGCGGCCGGGUCGAUGGUGAUGGAGUUGUUUGGGGAAAGGAUUAUAGGGAGGGACUUCAGGCCUGGUGGGUUUGCUGAGUAUAUGGUGAAGGAUUUGGGGAUGGGUGUGGAUGUUGUGGAGGAGAAUGAGGAAGGGAGGGUGGCGGUGCUGCCUGGUGCUGCAUUGUGCAAGCAGUUGUUUUCUGCCAUGGUGGCUAAUGGGGAUGGGAAGCUUGGCGGUCAAGGUCUUAUCACUGUCAUAGAGAGGCUCAAUGGAAAGUGAGAUGAAAUGGUUAGCUCAAUUUGAAAGAGAAUCUCAGAGUCCGGUAAAUAUUUAGCGGCAUCUGUGAAAAUUCAUCAAAACUCUUAGAGUCAUCGCACAUUUUGGACAUGAUCCGUUGUAAAACAAAGAGGUUUCAUUUUAGGCAAUUAGAAGAUCAUCCACUCCUUCUAUCUUCUACUGAGAGAUUUAACCAUUGCAUUAAGAAAAUGGUUGCCAUGGCUGAAAGGGAGGAGGCCCAAGAAAAGAUAUACAACAAGAAAGUUGACUUCAAUAGAGUCAUUGAGGAAGGAUGGGUUUUUCGUGAUGCUCUCAAAGAAAGACAUUAUCGCCAAAACGUUUAGGGAGCAUUUGAAUAUGCUCACUACGUGUGUCUCAACAUUAAUUGUGAUUUGCAAGAGGGAGGAGACAAAUAUAAAAAUACAAAGCCUUUGACCCCAUACGAAAUACAGAAAAAGCUUAAUUGGUUCUUCCCAACCCUGCUGAUAGACGUAUAUGCUUUAUUUGACUGAGGUAGAUGCCCUCACGGACCUUGGGAGGUAUAAAAUUGUCUGAGAGAAGAAAGAAAAAGAAGAUGCAGACGAAAAAGAAGUUGAAGGCGAGGACGAAGAAGAAGAGGAAGAUAAGGGCAAGGAUGAAGUUGCUGCAUAGCGUCUUUUAAUUUUUCUUUUUUUGGUCCUGCUUGAAAACGAUUUUCCUAAGUAGCUAGAGUUAUAAUGAGUGAUAUUAUAGCAAGAGUUAUGUAUGUUUUAUUCUAGGUUCUAAUAAUCUCGAUGUUUAAAUUUGAAAAAUGAUUACCAAAAUGUGCAGUUUUUGCAUGCUUAUUAUCUGAAUUAUUUGCAUUCGUAAAGGUGGGAGAGGUGGAACUGUAAAAGUUAGGCUGACCGGCCACCACCGUCUCUGGUUGAUGUUCUUGUCUCGGAUGCCCUCCGGCUGGCGCUGUGUGAUUGAAUGAAGGGUGAAGGAAGCGAUGGCUGCUGUUUUUGUAGUUUAGUUUGAACUUUCU